GUCUACGGUCAUGCCACUCUGAACAAGCCCAAUGUCUGAUCUCGGAAGAUAAGCAGGUUACGGCCUGGUUAGUACUUGGAUGGGAGAACACCUAGGAAGACCAAGUGCUGUAAGCA
Molecule: ribosomal RNA, 116 nt
Filed under: Pteropus alecto (black flying fox)
Lineage: Eukaryota; Metazoa; Chordata; Mammalia; Chiroptera; Pteropodidae
Source: RNAcentral